This 426-nucleotide ribosomal RNA is filed under the name uncultured Pseudomonadaceae bacterium. RNAcentral describes it as "bacterial SSU rRNA". It matches the Rfam family "Bacterial small subunit ribosomal RNA", at positions 356 to 774 of the family's 1533-position model. The record is from RNAcentral. Lineage: Bacteria; Pseudomonadati; Pseudomonadota; Gammaproteobacteria; Pseudomonadales; Pseudomonadaceae.
GGGGAAUAUUGGACAAUGGGCGAAAGCCUGAUCCAGCCAUGCCGCGUGUGUGAAGAAGGUCUUCGGAUUGUAAAGCCCUUUAGGUUGGGAGGAGGGGUUCUGGCUUAUAUUCAGGGAUUUUUGAGGUUACGCACGGAUGAGGCACCGCCUAACUUCGUGCCAGCAGCCGCGGUAAUACGAAGGGUGCAAGCGUUAAUCGGAAUUACUGGGCGUAAAGCGCGCGUAGGUGGUUCGUUAAGUUGGAUGUGAAAGCCCCGGGCUCAACCUGGGAACUGCAUCCAAAACUGGCGAGCUAGAGUAUGGCAGAGGGUGGUGGAAUUUCCUGUGUAGCGGUGAAAUGCGUAGAUAUAGGAAGGAACACCAGUGGCGAAGGCGACCACCUGGGCUAAUACUGACACUGAGGUGCGAAAGCGUGGGGAGCAAACA